GUAGUCCACGCUGUAAACGAUGGGUACUAGGUCUGGUGGGUAUUGACCCCUGCCGGACCGUAGCUAACGCGCUAAGUACCCCGCCUGGGAAGUACGGUCGCAAGACUAAAACUCAAAGGAAUUGACGGGGGCCCGCACAAGCGGUGGAUCAUGUGGUUUAAUUCGAAGCAACGCGAAGAACCUUACCUGGGCUUGACAUCCUCUGACCGCGCCAGAGACGGCGUUUUCGUAGCAAUACGACAGAGAGACAGGUGCUGCAUGGCUGUCGUCAGCUCGUGUGGUGACAUGUCGGGUUAAGUCCCUCAACGAGCGCAACCCCUGUCUUUAGUUGCCAGCAUUAAGUUGGGCACUCUAGAGAGACUGCCGUGGUUAACACGGA
This 379-nucleotide ribosomal RNA is filed under the name uncultured bacterium. Its description in RNAcentral is "bacterial SSU rRNA". It matches the Rfam family "Bacterial small subunit ribosomal RNA", at positions 790 to 1167 of the family's 1533-position model. The record is from RNAcentral.